This 74-nucleotide transfer RNA is filed under the name Anaerolineaceae bacterium. Its description in RNAcentral is "tRNA-Arg". It matches the Rfam family "tRNA". Rfam says of the family: Transfer RNA (tRNA) molecules are approximately 80 nucleotides in length. Lineage: Bacteria; Bacillati; Chloroflexota; Anaerolineae; Anaerolineales; Anaerolineaceae. The record is from RNAcentral.
GCCCCAGUGGCUCAAGUGGAUAGAGCGAGGCACUCCUAACGCCUAGAUUGGGGGUUCGAGUCCCUCCUGGGGCA